AUUGAACGCUGGCGGCAUGCCUUACACGUGCAAGUCGCACGGCAGCACCGGGGCAACCCUGGUGGCGAGUGGCGAACGGGUGAGUAAUGCAUCGGAACGUGUCCUCUUGUGGGGGAUAAUCAGACGACAGAUUGGCUAAUAACGCAUGAGAUCGCAAUACGAAAGCGGUGGACCGCAAGGCCUCGCGAGAGGGGAGCGGACGAUGCGGGAUUAGCUAGUUGGUGGGGUAAAAGCCUACCAAGGCGACAAUCCGUAGCUGGUCUGAGAGGACGACCAGCCACACUGGGACUGAGACACGGCCCAGACUCCUACGGGAGGCAGCAGUGGGGAAUUUUGGACAAUGGGCGCAAGCCUGAUCCAGCCAUGCCGCGUGUGUGAAGAAGGCCUUCGGGUUGUAAAGCACUUUCGGACGGAACGAAAUCGCGCGGACGAACAUUCCGCGUGGAUGACGUUACCGUAAGAAGAAGCACCGGCUAACUACGUGCCAGCCGCCGCCGUAA
RNAcentral lists this ribosomal RNA (500 nucleotides) under uncultured bacterium. RNAcentral's name for it is "partial 16S ribosomal RNA". It matches the Rfam family "Bacterial small subunit ribosomal RNA", at positions 29 to 523 of the family's 1533-position model. The record is from RNAcentral.